UUGGAAGUAAAAAAAGCGUAACAAGGUUUCCGUAGGUGAACCUGCGGAAGGAUCAUUACUGAUUUGCUUAAUUGCACCACAUGUGUUUUUUAUUGAACAAAUUUCUUUGGUGGCGGGAGCAAUCCUACCGCCAGAGGUUAUAAUUAAACCAAACUUUUUAUUUACAGUCAAACUUGAUUUAUUAUUACAAUAGUCAAAACUUUCAACAACGGAUUUCUUGGUUCUCGCAUCGAUGAAGAACGCAGCGAAAUGCGAUACGUAAUAUGAAUUGCAGAUAUUCGUGAAUCAUGGAAUCUUUGAACGCACAUUGCGCCCUUUGGUAUUCCAAAGGGCAUGCCUGUUUGAGCGUCAUUUCUCCCUCAAACCCCCGGGUUUGGUGUUGAGCAAUACGCUAGGUUUGUUUGAAAGAAUUUACGUGGAAACUUAUUUUAAGCGACUUAGGUUUAUCCAAAAACGCUUAUUUUGCUAGUGGCCACCACAAUUUAUUUCAUAACUUGACCUCAAAUCAGUAGACAGCCCAUCCA
Molecule: ribosomal RNA, 524 nt
Filed under: Candida tropicalis
Lineage: Eukaryota; Fungi; Ascomycota; Pichiomycetes; Serinales; Debaryomycetaceae
Description: eukaryotic LSU rRNA
Rfam family: 5.8S ribosomal RNA (bases 198-351)
Source: RNAcentral